This 573-nucleotide ribosomal RNA is filed under the name Leptosphaeria sp. AX166. RNAcentral describes it as "eukaryotic LSU rRNA". The stretch from base 249 to 402 matches the Rfam family "5.8S ribosomal RNA". Lineage: Eukaryota; Fungi; Ascomycota; Dothideomycetes; Pleosporales; Leptosphaeriaceae. The record is from RNAcentral.
UGGAAGUAAAAAGUCGUAACAAGGUUUCCGUAGGUGAACCUGCGGAAGGAUCAUUACAUUCAGUAGCUUGCUACUGUUAGGGGGGUCCAUUAGUCUGUAUAGUAUCACUACUGAUGAGCAGCACGACUCCCUGUCUAUACCCUUGUCUUUUGCGUACUCAUGUUUCCUCGGCGGCUUGAUACCCGCCGGCUGGAUCAAUCUAUAACCUUUUUAAUUUUCAAUCAGCGUCUGAAAAACCUAAUAAUUACAACUUUCAACAACGGAUCUCUUGGUUCUGGCAUCGAUGAAGAACGCAGCGAAAUGCGAUAAGUAGUGUGAAUUGCAGAAUUCAGUGAAUCAUCGAAUCUUUGAACGCACAUUGCGCCCCUUGGUAUUCCAUGGGGCAUGCCUGUUCGAGCGUCAUUUGUACCCUCAAGCUCUGCUUGGUGUUGGGUGUUUGUCCACUGUCGUGGACUCGCCUUAAAGUCAUUGGCAGCCAGUGUUUUGGUAUUGAAGCGCAGCACAUUUUGCGCCUCUAGCCUAGAACACUCGCGUCCAGUAAGCCUUUUUCCACUUUGACCUCGGAUCAGGUAG